Long non-coding RNA from Stomoxys calcitrans (stable fly), 421 nucleotides. RefSeq lists it as uncharacterized. The record is from RefSeq and is a predicted model, not a curated record. Lineage: Eukaryota; Metazoa; Arthropoda; Insecta; Diptera; Muscidae. The transcript has 2 exons.
CUCCCUUCUCCUAGGGAAUACUUUUCCCGACAUAUUCGUGUUUUUCGAAAAAUCUCUUAUUUGAGUAACUAUUGUUCAUUUUCUACGCCAUUUACCUUGAGUGGGAAAAUUAGGCGUUUAGAGGCCCCAGACCAAAACCCAUAAAAAGGACAUCAUGUUCGUGUUCCUUUUCUUGUACAUAGGGGAUUCAUUUUUUAUCUCCUAUGGGGAGUCCAGGAGCCUUUGCCCCAAAAACGGACUUUGGAUUCGUGUUCCUGAGGGCAACCCACACCAAAUCUCUGCGAAUUCGGAGGUGCGCCCUAUAAAGUGCAGUUUACCAUUUUUCUGGUCUCAAACUACACGGCUGAAUAAAAUAAUCUGUUCGAAAUAACAAUUUCGCCCGCACUUCCAGACGAAAUUUUCAAUAAAUAUUUUAAUAUAU